Molecule: ribosomal RNA, 212 nt
Filed under: Helotiales sp.
Lineage: Eukaryota; Fungi; Ascomycota; Leotiomycetes; Helotiales
Description: partial large subunit ribosomal RNA
Source: RNAcentral
AAGCGCUUGUGACCAGACUUGGGCUUGGUUGAUCAUCCGGGGUUCUCCCCGGUGCACUCUUCCGGCUCAGGCCAGCAUCAGUUCGCCCUGGGGGAUAAAGGCAUCGGGAACGUGGCUCUCUCCGGGGAGUGUUAUAGCCCUCGGUGCAAUGCCGCCUACCUGGACCGAGGACCGCGCUUCGGCUAGGAUGCUGGCGUAAUGGUUGUAAGCGA